GAUCAAAGCUACAAUGGGCUUGGCUGCCCUUCUCCAGGAAUGGCCAGAGGACAACUUCUGCUUGGAAAGUUCCUGGAUACUUCUGGAACAGAAUUCUCCUGGGGUGAGUGGUUCACACAACUGACCCACUUCAUCCCCACUCAGCAAAAUGAGAGCGCCGUUGACUGACAACAAAAUGCUGAACUGGAAACCUCCGCAGUAAAACGUGAUGCAGAACAGAGAAAGAACUAAGAUGUUCUGCACAGACGGUAUCAUGCCCUCUAUGAGGAAACUACUCGAGCAUAUCUGUGUUUCAAAUGAUGUCUUUGAACUAUUUAUGUUAAAUGCCCCCCCAAAAAAAUGGAAAGGCUUCUUCGUAGAGGAAAGAGCUUGAAGUUGCUAGGCUGUUCUGCCUUCAACAGGCAUUUAUUGUGCAGCUACAAAAUGCUGCACCAAGCACUGGGCAGUGGAAAGGUGAUUCAGACACAGUUCCUUUGACAAAACCUCAAAAUCCCAUGUGAAGUUCUCUUUUAUAAAGUAAAUCAGAAAAGAUUCAAAAGUUGAGGUACCAAAAAAAAAUAAUAUAAAUGCAAGUAGUAAAGCGCUAUUGACUGUAAAUAGAAGCACUUAAUAAGUGGUUGUUGUUUCUGUUCUUCUCUCUAAUAAGUGUAUACAGGUGGCUAAAUGCUUUUGUUGAGCUAUGAGUACCUCAUUCUGUGGAGUGACUCAGAAAGUCUCUAGGUGUUAGACUGGAAACAGGUGAUGUUCAGUGCACGCAAUGCUUGAAGUGUUCCCAGGUAUUUAGUUUCAGGUAAAUUUUACUGUUUAAAAAAAUUGUUUUUACUUGCUAUUAAGUGUGUUGACCUUGGAUAAUUUACUUAACCUCUCUAUGCCUUGCUUCCUUUUCUGCAAAAUGAGAGUAAGAAAAGUGCUUACCUCAUUGGCUUUUUGUGAAAUUCAAUGAGUUAACACGUGGGAGAAAAGAUGUUUUUAAAUAAUCAAUUCUUAGCAGUUGGUCAUUGUUAUGAGUUACAUCAUGCGUAGUUAAAUAUUUUUUAAAAAAUUAAAAUUUAUUUUCCUAUAGG
RNAcentral lists this long non-coding RNA (1064 nucleotides) under Homo sapiens (human). RNAcentral's name for it is "HSALNT0364848". The record is from RNAcentral. Lineage: Eukaryota; Metazoa; Chordata; Mammalia; Primates; Hominidae.